Molecule: ribosomal RNA, 427 nt
Filed under: uncultured bacterium
Lineage: Bacteria
Description: bacterial SSU rRNA
Rfam family: Bacterial small subunit ribosomal RNA
Source: RNAcentral
UGGGGAAUUUUGGACAAUGGGCGCAAGCCUGAUCCAGCAAUGCCGCGUGCAGGAUGAAGGCCUUCGGGUUGUAAACUGCUUUUGUACGGAGCGAAAAGGUCUGCCCUAAUACGGUGGGCUCAUGACGGUACCGUAAGAAUAAGCACCGGCUAACUACGUGCCAGCAGCCGCGGUAAUACAGAGGGUGCAAGCGUUAAUCGGAAUUACUGGGCGUAAAGCGUGCGCAGGCGGUGAUGUAAGACAGGUGUGAAAUCCCCGGGCUUAACCUGGGAAUUGCAUUUGUGACUGCAUCGCUGGAGUGCGGCAGAGGGGGAUGGAAUUCCGCGUGUAGCAGUGAAAUGCGUAGAUAUGACCCAGAACCCCAAUUGCGAAGGCAGCCUACUACGGGGUGAUUGACACUGAGGCACGAGAGCAUGGGGAGCAAACA